GUGUUUUUCCAAAGCCUUCCAACAGCAACAUGAAGUUGGCAGCCUUCCUCCUCCUUGUGAUCCUCAUCAUCUUCAGCCUAGAGGUACAAGAGCUUCAGGCUGCAGGAGACCGGCUUUUGGGGGCCCCUUUUUACAGAUGAGAAAAGUUCCAGAAAGACCCAGAGACAUAAUCAGGUACCUGCGUCGAGCUCUGCACAGGUGACUGGGACUGCAACCCGGGAGACCACUGUGUCAGCAAUGGGUGUGGCCAUGAGUGUGUUGCAGGGUAAGGACAGAUGAAGAGUUAUCUUAAGGAUCAUCUUUCUCUAAGAUCGUCAUCCCUUCCUGGAGUUCCUAUCUUCCAAGAUGUGACUGUCUGGAGUUCCUUGACUAGGAAGAUGGAUGAAAACAGCGAGCCUGUGGAUGGAGACUACAGGGGAUAUGGGAGGCAGGGAAGAGGGGUUGUUUCUUUUAAUAAAUCAUCAUUGUUAAAAGC
RNAcentral lists this long non-coding RNA (475 nucleotides) under Pan troglodytes (chimpanzee). RNAcentral's name for it is "lincRNA". Lineage: Eukaryota; Metazoa; Chordata; Mammalia; Primates; Hominidae. The record is from RNAcentral.